RNAcentral lists this ribosomal RNA (846 nucleotides) under Ramularia coleosporii. RNAcentral describes it as "eukaryotic LSU rRNA". It matches the Rfam family "Eukaryotic large subunit ribosomal RNA", at positions 52 to 929 of the family's 3401-position model. Lineage: Eukaryota; Fungi; Ascomycota; Dothideomycetes; Mycosphaerellales; Mycosphaerellaceae. The record is from RNAcentral.
GGAGGAAAAGAAACCAACAGGGAUUGCCCUAGUAACGGCGAGUGAAGCGGCAACAGCUCAAAUUUGAAAUCUGGCGCAAGCCCGAGUUGUAAUUUGUAGAGGAUGCUUCUAGGUAGCGACCGGUCUAAGUUCCUUGGAACAGGACGUCAUAGAGGGUGAGAAUCCCGUAUGUGACCGGCCCGCACCUUCUACGUAGCUCCUUCGACGAGUCGAGUUGUUUGGGAAUGCAGCUCUAAAUGGGAGGUAAAUUUCUUCUAAAGCUAAAUACCGGCCAGAGACCGAUAGCGCACAAGUAGAGUGAUCGAAAGAUGAAAAGCACUUUGGAAAGAGAGUUAAAAAGCACGUGAAAUUGUUGAAAGGGAAGCGCUUACAACCAGACUUCUGGGCGGUGUUCCGCCGGUCUUUUGACCGGUCUACUCGCCGUCCCGAGGCCAACAUCAUCUGGGACCGCUGGAUAAGACCUCAGGAAUGUAGCUCCCCUCGGGGAGUGUUAUAGCCUGUGGUGAUGCAGCGCGUCUCGGGUGAGGUCCGCGCUUCGGCAAGGAUGUUGGCGUAAUGGUUGUCAGCGGCCCGUCUUGAAACACGGACCAAGGAGUCUAACAUCUAUGCGAGUGUUCGGGUGUCAAACCCCUACGCGUAAUGAAAGUGAACGGAGGUGGGAAGGGCAACCUGCACCAUCGACCGAUCCUGAUGUCCUCGGAUGGAUUUGAGUAAGAGCAUAGCUGUUGGGACCCGAAAGAUGGUGAACUAUGCCUGAAUAGGGUGAAGCCAGAGGAAACUCUGGUGGAGGCUCGCAGCGGUUCUGACGUGCAAAUCGAUCGUCAAAUUUGGGUAUAGGGGCGAAAG